RNAcentral lists this small nuclear RNA (20 nucleotides) under Arabidopsis thaliana (thale cress). Its description in RNAcentral is "snRNA_00110". Lineage: Eukaryota; Viridiplantae; Streptophyta; Magnoliopsida; Brassicales; Brassicaceae. The record is from RNAcentral.
GCGGGUGCACCGCCGACCGA